AUUNNNACUCAAAGGAAUUGACGGGGACCCGCACAAGCGGUGGAUGAUGUGGAUUAAUUCGAUGCAACGCGAAGAACCUUACCUGGUCUUGACAUGUACGGANCCCUCCAGAGACGGAGGGGUGCCUUCGGGAGCCGUAACACAGGUGCUGCAUGGCUGUCGUCAGCUCGUGUCGUGAGAUGUUGGGUUAAGUCCCGCAACGAGCGCAACCCUUGUCAUUAGUUGCCAUCAUUAAGUUGGGCACUCUAAUGAGACUGCCGGUGACAAGCCGGAGGAAGGUGGGGAUGACGUCAAGUCCUCAUGGCCCUUAUGACCAGGGCUUCACACGUCAUACAAUGGUCGGUACAGAGGGUAGCCAAGCCGCGAGGUGGAGCCAAUCUCACAAAACCGAUCGUAGUCCGGAUUGCACUCUGCAACUCGAGUGCAUGAAGUCGGAAUCGCUAGUAAUCGCAGGUCAGCAUACUGCGGUGAAUACGUUCCCGGGUCUUGUACACACCGCCCGUCACACCAUGGGAGUGGGGGAUACCAGAAGU
This 533-nucleotide ribosomal RNA is filed under the name uncultured bacterium. RNAcentral's name for it is "bacterial SSU rRNA". It matches the Rfam family "Bacterial small subunit ribosomal RNA", at positions 893 to 1427 of the family's 1533-position model. The record is from RNAcentral.